UACGGAGGAUCCGAGCGUUAUCCGGAUUUAUUGGGUUUAAAGGGUGCGCAGGCGGGGGAUUAAGUCGGCGGUGAAAUUUUGCAGCUCAACUGUAAAAGUGCCUUCGAAACUGGUUUCCUUGAGUGUGGAUGAAGUAGGCGGAAUUUGUGGUGUAGCGGUGAAAUGCAUAGAUAUCACGAGGAACUCCGAUUGCGCAGGCAGCUUACUAAACCAUAACUGACGCUCAGGCACGAAGGCGUGGGGAUCAAACAGGAUUAGAUACCCCGGUAGU
Molecule: ribosomal RNA, 271 nt
Filed under: uncultured prokaryote
Description: partial 16S ribosomal RNA
Rfam family: Bacterial small subunit ribosomal RNA
Source: RNAcentral